This 446-nucleotide ribosomal RNA is filed under the name uncultured bacterium. Its description in RNAcentral is "partial 16S ribosomal RNA". It matches the Rfam family "Bacterial small subunit ribosomal RNA", at positions 338 to 795 of the family's 1533-position model. The record is from RNAcentral.
CCUACGGGAGACAGCAGUCGAGAAUCAUUCACAAUGGGGGAAACCCUGAUGGUGCGACGCCGCGUGGGGGAAUGAAGUUCUUCGGAUUGUAAACCCCUGUCAUGUGGGAGCAAAUUAAAAAGAUAGUACCACAAUAGGCAGAGCCGGCUAACUCUGUGCCAGCAGCCGCGGUAAUACAGAGGUCUCAAGCGUUGUUCGGAAUCACUGGGCGUAAGGCGUGCGUAGGCUGUUUCGUAAGUCGUGUGUGAAAGGCGCGGGCUCAACCCGCGGACGGCACAUGAUACUGCGAGACUAGAGUAAUGGAGGGGGAACCGGAAGUCUCGGUGUAGCAGUGAAAUGCGUAGAUAUCGAGAGGAACACUCGUGGCGAAGGCGGGUUCCUGGACAUUAACUGACGCUGAGGCACGAAGGCCAGGGGAGCGAAAGGGAUUAGAUACCCGGGUAGUC